GCGUCCUUCGGGCGUCCGAGUUGUAAUCUAUAGAAGUGUUUUCCGUGCCGGACCAUGUCCAAGUCCCUUGGAACAGGGUAUCAAAGAGGGUGACAAUCCCGUACUUGACAUGACCACCGGUGCUCUGUGAUACACUUUCUACGAGUCGAGUUGUUUGGGAAUGCAGCUCAAAAUGGGUGGUAAAUUCCAUCUAAAGCUAAAUAUUGGCGAGAGACCGAUAGCGAACAAGUACCGUGAGGGAAAGAUGAAAAGCACUUUGGAAAGAGAGUUAAACAGUACGUGAAAUUGUUGAAAGGGAAACGAUUGAAGUCAGUCGUGUUCUUUGGACUCAGCCGGUUCUUCCGGUCUAUUUCCUUUGAACGGGUCAACAUCAGUUUUGUCCGGUGGAUAAAGGCAGGAAGAAAGUGGCUCCCUCGGGAGUGUUAUAGCUUUCUGUCACAUA
RNAcentral lists this ribosomal RNA (442 nucleotides) under Vanrija musci. RNAcentral's name for it is "eukaryotic LSU rRNA". It matches the Rfam family "Eukaryotic large subunit ribosomal RNA", at positions 124 to 573 of the family's 3401-position model. The record is from RNAcentral. Lineage: Eukaryota; Fungi; Basidiomycota; Tremellomycetes; Trichosporonales; Trichosporonaceae.